Non-coding RNA from Acanthosepion pharaonis, 110 nucleotides. Lineage: Eukaryota; Metazoa; Mollusca; Cephalopoda; Sepiida; Sepiidae. The record is from the annotation of a GenBank genome assembly.
CUUGCGGCCAUAUAACGUUGAAACAUUGGUUUCCGUAUGAUUACUGACGUUAAGCAAUAUCGAGCCUGGUCAGUACCUAGAAGGGUGAUCGCUUGGGAAUAUAAGGUGCC